AUUGAACGCUGGCGGCAGGCCUAACACAUGCAAGUCGAGCGGAUGAAGGGAGCUUGCUCCUGGAUUCAGCGGCGGACGGGUGAGUAAUACCUAGGAAUCUGCCUGGUAGUGGGGGAUAACGUCCGGAAACGGGCGCUAAUACCGCAUACGUCCUGAGGGAGAAAGUGGGGGAUCUUCGGACCUCACGCUAUCAUAUGAGCCUAGGUCGGAUUAGCUAGUUGGUGGGGUAAAGGCCUACCAAGGCGACGAUCCGUAACUGGUCUGAGAGGAUGAUCAGUCACACUGGAACUGAGACACGGUCCAGACUCCUACGGGAGGCAGCAGUGGGGAAUAUUGGACAAUGGGCGAAAGCCUGAUCCAGCCAUGCCGCGUGUGUGAAGAAGGUCUUCGGAUUGUAAAGCACUUUAAGUUGGGAGGAAGGGCAGUAAGUUAAUACCUUGCUGUUUUGACGUUACCAACAGAAUAAGCACCGGCUAACUUCGUG
This 484-nucleotide ribosomal RNA is filed under the name uncultured bacterium. Its description in RNAcentral is "partial 16S ribosomal RNA". It matches the Rfam family "Bacterial small subunit ribosomal RNA", at positions 30 to 507 of the family's 1533-position model. The record is from RNAcentral.